RNAcentral lists this transfer RNA (74 nucleotides) under Verrucomicrobiota bacterium. RNAcentral describes it as "Verrucomicrobia bacterium tRNA-Pro". It matches the Rfam family "tRNA". From Rfam's summary of the family: Transfer RNA (tRNA) molecules are approximately 80 nucleotides in length. Their secondary structure includes four short double-helical elements and three loops (D, anti-codon, and T loops). Lineage: Bacteria; Pseudomonadati; Verrucomicrobiota. RNAcentral also lists the same sequence under 1 other name. The record is from RNAcentral.
CGGGCUGUAGCGCAGUUUGGUAGCGCGCUUCGUUCGGGACGAAGAGGUCGUGGGUUCGAAUCCCGCCAGCCCGA